Anopheles nili is the source of this 291-nucleotide long non-coding RNA. RefSeq lists it as uncharacterized. The record is from RefSeq and is a predicted model, not a curated record. The transcript is spliced from 3 exons. NCBI's taxonomy places the organism in Eukaryota, Metazoa, Arthropoda, Insecta, Diptera, Culicidae.
GUUUUUUUUUCACACGCAAUUUUGCUGUAUUUAAAUCAAAUGAGGGCCCUUUGGUUUGCAUGACAACAGAUUGUAUAUCCAAGCAAAACAUCGCUAAUUCCGCAUGUGGUAUGAAAUCCUUCCAUUCUGCAAAAAAAUUAGAAGAUCGUGACUCCAUCUUUCCUGUACAUUUUCUAUGAAUAUCGCACACCACACAUCACCACAGCAGAAACGAUCACUACUUUUAAUGUGCAUUAACUAUGAUGUGCAAUACUGUAAUGAAAAAAAUGCACUAAUUUUCGAUUGUCACCC